This 753-nucleotide ribosomal RNA is filed under the name uncultured bacterium. RNAcentral describes it as "bacterial SSU rRNA". It matches the Rfam family "Bacterial small subunit ribosomal RNA", at positions 748 to 1504 of the family's 1533-position model. The record is from RNAcentral.
GAGGUGCGAAAGCGUGGGAGCAAACGGAUUAGAUACCCCGGUAGUCCACGCCGUAAACGAUGUCUACUAGCCGUUGGAGGACUUGAUCCUUUAGUGGCGCAGCUAACGCGAUAAGUAGACCGCCUGGGGAGUACGGUCGCAAGAUUAAAACUCGAAUGAAUUGACGGGGGCCCGCACAAGCGGUGGAGCAUGUGGUUUAAUUCGAAGCAACGCGAAGAACCUUACCUACUCUUGACAUCCAGUGAACUUUUGAGAGAUCAAUUGGUGCCUUCGGGAACACUGAGACAGGUGCUGCAUGGCUGUCGUCAGCUCGUGUUGUGAAAUGUUGGGUUAAGUCCCGUAACGAGCGCAACCCUUGUCCUUAGUUACCAUCAUUAAGUUGGGGACUCUAAGGAGACUGCCGGUGACAAACCGGAGGAAGGCGGGGACGACGUCAAGUCAUCAUGGCCCUUACGAGUAGGGCUACACACGUGCUACAAUGGCAUGUACAAAGGGUUGCCAAGCCGCGAGGUGGAGCUAAUCCCAUAAAGCAUGUCGUAGUCCGGAUUGGAGUCUGCAACUCGACUCCAUGAAGUCGGAAUCGCUAGUAAUCGUGAAUCAGAAUGUCACGGUGAAUACGUUCCCGGGCCUUGUACACACCGCCCGUCACACCAUGGGAGUGGGUUGCUCCAGAAGUAGAUAGCUUAACCUUCGGGAGGGCGUUUACCACGGAGUGAUUCAUGACUGGGGUGAAGUCGUAACAAGGUAACCGUA